RNAcentral lists this ribosomal RNA (301 nucleotides) under uncultured bacterium. RNAcentral describes it as "partial 16S ribosomal RNA". It matches the Rfam family "Bacterial small subunit ribosomal RNA", at positions 509 to 807 of the family's 1533-position model. The record is from RNAcentral.
CAGCAGCCGCGGGAAAACGAAGGGGGCUAGCGUUGUUCGGAUUUACUGGGCGUAAAGGGUGCGUAGGCGGAUUGUUAAGUCAGGGGUGAAAUCCCGAGGCUCAACCUCGGAACUGCCUUUGAUACUGGCGAUCUUGAGUCCGGGAGAGGUGAGUGGAACUGCGAGCGUAGCGGUGAAAUGCGUAGAGAUCGGGAGGAACAUCAGUGGCGAAGGCGGCCAUCUGGGACAACACUGACGCUGAGGCACGAAAGCGUGGGGAGCAAACAGGAUUAGAUACCCCUGUAGUCCCUGUCUCUUAUAC